This is a transfer RNA of Ovis aries (sheep), 73 nucleotides long. It matches the Rfam family "tRNA". Rfam says of the family: Transfer RNA (tRNA) molecules are approximately 80 nucleotides in length. NCBI's taxonomy places the organism in Eukaryota, Metazoa, Chordata, Mammalia, Artiodactyla, Bovidae. The record is from Rfam.
UCCCUGGUGGUCUAGUGACUAAGACUUCAUGCUUUCAGUGCAGCGGGCCUGGGUUCAAUCCCUGGUCAGGGAA